UUGUCUGCACCUGUUGAAAAAUGAUGGUCCUGCCUGAGUCAAACAUGGACAUAAAUGAUUUCACUGUUCAUCUUCCUCUUUAAAGUAUUUUGAUAUCAAUACAAUUUGCAGUGAUUUAUCAGCAUCACUAAUACUUACUUGACUUUCUUUGUCAAACAGCAGCGUUGAGGCAGAAUGGAGGAGCUUCCCCCAUCAGGUCUUGCAAGUCUGCAAGUUAGUCAAGUAAACAGUGACGUAACCUGCAGUGCACAUUUUCCUAAACUGUCGUGUCAGUAUGUUGAAGUGAAGCAAAUCAAAAGUUGUUGCUUGAUUCAACAAAACUUAGACUUUGGUUUUUGCAUUGGAAGUGAGUGAAAUGAUCUCAUCCGACUGGCGUUUUUUUUAUUAUUUUUUUUUUAUUUGUUUGAAGAAAAUAAACCUUCAGUCAUCACUGGACUCGGUGACUUGUUAACAUGAACAUGUUCUGUAGUCUGGUCCUUGGCAGUCUGAGCGGCAUUAAUGGGGCUUGGCCCUCUCGUGCGUUUGUGAACAUGAUGUUUUUAUGGAGGGAAACGUCUCCAGCGGCGGCCCUUCGUUUCUCCACAGGCGAGCAGACCGCAGACUUCCUGGAAAAGGCCCGGUGGCCGAUUCACAGAGCACAGCCAGUGAGCCGGGCACAGCGGCGGGACAUCAUCAGCAUCAGCACCAUCUGAUGACAUUUAAACUCAGGAUCCCAGCUGCAUCUUCAAGCUGUACAGGUCAAGAAUUUCUCCUCCAAAUGUGAAAGACUGAAAGCAGCCCUCCCCCUGCUGGACAGACAGCUCACACUGCUGUUUUCUGCUAAACUUAACAACCCAGUAAAAGCCCGAGAAGUAGUAGCGCAGGAGGAAAACACAAUGUGAUGAAGUUGCAACAACAACAUAAAAACAUCCUCAACUUUUCUUCACAACAAAGAAAACAAAGAAAGGGUUUAAUUUCUGAGCAGGGAGCUCCUGCAAGCUGGGAAGAAGACACUGUAAAAUGUGACCCCAAAUAUUCUGUGACAAGCAUGUGUGGGGUUUAAAUAUAUAAAAUCACUUAGACAUUAUCUACACUGAAGGACAUUUUCACCGAUUUUAACCAGUUGUUCCUCUGCAAAUCUCUUUCUUAUUUCAGAACUUUUUCGUCUGAGAAAGACACAUUUUUAUGACAAAUAACUGAAAUCCAGUAUUUGAAAAUCAUUAAACUAUAUUUGAAAAACCAAGAUCCGGAUUCUUAGCGUUUGUGUCUCACAUUAAAGUUUAGUCUUUGACUGACGCCCUCAUUCUGUAUGAUGUACAAAGGCAGAGGUAAAAUUGGCUGAAAUUACACAUUAUGAGCAACAAAAGUGUUAGAGCUCAGAGUGAAACCGUAGCACCUUAAUUUGUAAAAUUAUCUUGUUGAUAAAAAGAAAAACAUAACAGACCAAUUCUGUAAUAUUGUUAAUAGACAAAGGCUGGGUCUUGAAUCACUGCUUUGCCUCGCUCACUCAUUUGUGAUUCAGAGGAAAUGCUCGGCCUUUGAGAGGACGUGGGACUCCGUUAUGGCCUUGUAGAAGCCUCUUUGCCUUCAGUUAUUUUGUGCAAUUGUGUAUUAACACUUAAUUUUCUUUAUUCCUUCCUGGAUAUCAUUUUCUAUGCCCUUACAGAAGCUAAAAUGUAAGUACAAGUAGAUUCGUUUGACUGGGUUUUGGUGUGAAUGUACUUCAGGAUUUUAAUGAAUAUUUGAAAACAAAUUAAUGACAAAGUAAGUAAAAAUGACAAGAAAUGAGCCCAGGAGAGCAGUAAAACGAUUUUCUUGUUUCUUGAUUUCUGUCUUCACACGAGCAACUUGUGAGCUGAGAUAGAUGUGAGUCUAGCUUCAUAUCGUACCUUGAACAAAACAAAAAAUUUACAAUGUCUGAAGUAAAAUGUGCAGUCACAUUAACUCUGUCCUGACAAACACAUUCCUGUAAUGACUUUAAUGAAGCCAGAUGAGGCAAAAUGGUUGAAAUUAAUCCUCGAGACAAAGCAAAUAAAAAAAAACAAUCAACAUUCAGUGAUGAAUCCUCAGUCCAUAUGUAUUGAAGUUCUUACAUAUUACAAGUAGAAUAUACAGUAUAUGUAUACUGGUGUAGACAAUAUAAAAUGGGCUAAAAUGACUGAAGGAUACAAAGAACAGCAUAUACAAAAGCUUAUUUAAUGAUUCAAGUACCACUGACUUUAUACUUCAGUUCUCUGUAGAAUUCAAAAGCAUCUGUACAAAAUGUACAAGAAUUGUAUCCCAUGUUGCAUUGGCCAAAGGUUUCCUCUGCGCUUCAUAUCAUAUCUUACUAUGUAUCAUAUAGGGUGUAUAAUUUACAUUUUUUUAAAGACAAAAAUCACAGAUCCUACAGUACAGCACAUAACGUCUAUCAUGAAAUUUGCUGAAUUCAUUUCUGGACUCAGUGAUUUCAGUCAAGUCGCCUGAUGUUGUCUAACCUAAUUCAAAUGUGCAAAUAUUUCUUUAACAACACAUGAAAUGACAGUGGCUUUACAACUCAAGUCAUAAUACAGAAUUUCCAUGUGUAAUAUUUCCAAACAUUUUGCAGACUGUAUGUUCAGUAUUUCUGUUUUAUUACGCUUUAUUUUACAGGUCCAUAAUUUUAAAAAUAUUUUCCUAGUACGUUUCCUUAAAAGUUUUAUGUAAUUCGCUACUAAUUAUAGGGCAACACAAACAGUGUUCAAUUGGUACACUUCCAAUUAAUACAUGUCAAUUAUCUGCCUGCAUAACAGAGUCUUCAAUAAGUGCACAGCAGGUCAGCUGAACAUGCAAAAAUGUGACAUAUACAAACAUAUAUAGAGAACUAAAGUUAUAAUCCUUAAGGUUUUCAUGAAAUCAAACUAAAUUUUUGAUGCUAUUUAUGGUCGUAACUGUUUCAGUAAUAGACAUUCAAUGUAUUUACAUUCAGUAAUUAUCUCACUAUUCAUGCACUGGAUUUAAAUUGCCUACCUACACACGAAGGAUGCACAGCAAACGAUGCAUACCCAUAAUCCAGCGUUACUGUUUGUAAUUUUAAGUAUUUCUCACCAACACAAAGUGACCAUUCAUUCAGUUAUUUUCGGGGGGCUUCUGUCAGCAGAUAAGAUUUAAGUAUGUCAAGAUUGUAACUUUAAGUUUCAAAUAUUAAAUGAACAUUUACUUGGGUUUAAUGCAGCUGUUCUUACAGGGACAAUUCUAUAUUCCCUAUAAUUAAUACCAAAUUACACAGUUCCUUCAAGGAAACUUCCUAUGAAAUUGUCAGGAAAUUACGAACCUGUAAAAUACAGUUUUAUUGGUAUUUCUAGAAUCAACAGGAAUAAAAUGGGCGCAUAUACUCGUAUAUUCUACAAGUUCUCAUCUCAGCAAGAUACCGAAUGUAGGGAUGCCCCGAUCACUGUCCAAUAAAGGCAAAAUCUGAAUCUACAAAUUAAAAAUCAUCUCAACAAGACUAAAUCCAUUUUAAU
This is a long non-coding RNA of Siniperca chuatsi (mandarin fish), 3461 nucleotides long. RefSeq lists it as uncharacterized. The record is from RefSeq and is a predicted model, not a curated record. Lineage: Eukaryota; Metazoa; Chordata; Actinopteri; Centrarchiformes; Sinipercidae. The transcript is spliced from 2 exons.